CUAGACUUAGGAUCUAGUGUCUUCGACGUGGGAGUUCGAGUCUCUUCACCCGCA
This 54-nucleotide transfer RNA is filed under the name Dethiosulfatibacter aminovorans DSM 17477. RNAcentral describes it as "tRNA_Leu_TAG". Lineage: Bacteria; Bacillati; Bacillota; Tissierellia. The record is from RNAcentral.